AACGUACGCUGGCGGCACGCCUAACACAUGCAAGUCGAAACGAAGUAGCAAUACUUAGUGGCAGACGGGUGAGUAACAUGUAGGUAUCUGCCCUUUGGCCUGGAAUAACACGAGGAAACUCGCGCUAAUACCGGAUAAGUCUUUACGGAGAAAGCUUUAUGCACCAUUGGAUGAGCCUGCACUUGAUUAGUUUGUUGGUGGGGUAAUGGCCUACCAAGACUGUGAUCAAUAGCUGAUUUGAGAGGAUGAUCAGCCACAUUGGGACUGAGACACGGCCCAAACUCCUACGGGAGGCAGCAGUGGGGAAUCUUGCACAAUGGAGGAAACUCUGAUGCAGCGAUGCCGCGUGAGUGAAGAAGGCCCUUGGGUUGUAAAGCUCUUUCGUCGGGGAAGAAAAUGACUGUACCCGAAUAAGAAGGUCCGGCUAACUUCGUGCCAGCAGCCGCGGUAAUACGAAGGGACCUAGCGUAGUUCGGAAUUACUGGGCUUAAAGAGUUCGUAGGUGGUUGAAAAAGUUAGUGGUGAAAUCCCAGAGCUUAACUCUGGAACUGCCAUUAAAACUUUUCAGCUAGAGUAUGAUAGAGGAAAGCAGAAUUUCUAGUGUAGAGGUGAAAUUCGUAGAUAUUAGAAAGAAUACCAAUUGCGAAGGCAGCUUUCUGGAUCAUUACUGACACUGAGGAACGAAAGCAUGGGUAGCGAAGAGGAUUAGAUACCCUCGUAGUCCAUGCCGUAAACGAUGUGUGUUAGACGUUGGAAAUUUAUUUUCAGUGUCGCAGGGAAACCGAUAAACACACCGCCUGGGGAGUACGACCGCAAGGUUAAAACUCAAAUGAAUUGACGGGGACCCGCACAAGUAGUGGAGCAUGUGGUUUAAUUCGAAGAUACGCGCAGAACCUUACCAACACUUGACAUGUUCGUCGCGACUCUAAGAGAUUAGAGUUUUCGGUUCGGCCGGACGAAACACAGGUGCUGCAUGGCUGUCGUCAGCUCGUGUCGUGAGAUGUUGGGUUAAGUCCCGCAACGAGCGCAACCCUCACUUUUAGUUGCCAUCAUUAAGUUGGGCACUCUGAAAGAACUGCCAGUGAUAAGCUGGAGGAAGGUGGGGAUGACGUCAAGUCCUCAUGGCCCUUACGUGUUGGGCUACACACGUGCUACAAUGGUAUCUACAACAGGAAGCAAGACUGCGAAGUUAAGCAAAUCCCUAAAAGAUACCUCAGUUCGGAUUGCACUCUGCAACUCGAGUGCAUGAAGCUGGAAUUACUAGUAAUCGUGGAUCAGCGUGCCACGGUGAAUGCGUUCCCGGGUCU
Molecule: ribosomal RNA, 1307 nt
Filed under: uncultured bacterium
Lineage: Bacteria
Description: bacterial SSU rRNA
Rfam family: Bacterial small subunit ribosomal RNA
Source: RNAcentral